CGGGCGGACGGGGGAGUAACGCGUGGGUAACCUACCCUGUACACACGGAUAACAUACCGAAAGGUAUGCUAAUACGGGAUAAUAUAUUUGAGAGGCAUCUCUUGAGUAUCAAAGGUGAGCCAGUACAGGAUGGACCCGCGUCUGAUUAGCUAGUUGGUAAGGUAACGGCUUACCAAGGCGACGAUCAGUAGCCGACCUGAGAGGGUGAUCGGCCACAUUGGAACUGAGACACGGUCCAA
This 239-nucleotide ribosomal RNA is filed under the name uncultured bacterium. RNAcentral's name for it is "partial 16S ribosomal RNA". It matches the Rfam family "Bacterial small subunit ribosomal RNA", at positions 95 to 334 of the family's 1533-position model. The record is from RNAcentral.